This 1275-nucleotide ribosomal RNA is filed under the name metagenome. RNAcentral describes it as "bacterial SSU rRNA". It matches the Rfam family "Bacterial small subunit ribosomal RNA", at positions 232 to 1498 of the family's 1533-position model. The record is from RNAcentral.
GAUAUCAGAUUAGCUAGUUGGUGAGGUAAAGGCUCACCAAGGCGACGAUCUGUAGCGGGUCUGAGAGGAUGAUCCGCCACACUGGAACUGAGACACGGUCCAGACUCCUACGGGAGGCAGCAGUGGGGAAUUUUGGACAAUGGGGGCAACCCUGAUCCAGCCAUGCCGCGUGAGUGAAGAAGGCCUUCGGGUUGUAAGGCUCUUUCGGCCGGGAAGAAAUCGUAUGGGUUAAUACCCUGUGCGGAUGACGGUACCGGCAUAAGAAGCACCGGCUAACUACGUGCCAGCAGCCGCGGUAAUACGUAGGGUGCGAGCGUUAAUCGGAAUUACUGGGCGUAAAGCGUGCGCAGACGGUUUUGUAAGACAGGCGUGAAAUCCCCGGGCUCAACCUGGGAACUGCGCUUGUGACUGCAAGGCUAGAGUAUGGCAGAGGGGGGUGGAAUUCCACGUGUAGCAGUGAAAUGCGUAGAGAUGUGGAGGAACACCAAUGGCGAAGGCAGCCCCCUGGGCCAAUACUGACGCUCAUGCACGAAAGCGUGGGUGGCAAACAGGAUUAGAUACCCUGGUAGUCCACGCCCUAAACGAUGUCAACUAGGUGUUGGGUGGGUAAAACCAUUUAGUACCGGAGCUAACGCGUGAAGUUGACCGCCUGGGGAGUACGGCCGCAAGGUUAAAACUCAAAGGAAUUGACGGGGACCCGCACAAGCGGUGGAUGAUGUGGAUUAAUUCGAUGCAACGCGAAAAACCUUACCUACCCUUGACAUGUCCAGGAGCCUGAAGAGAUUUGGGUGUGCCCGAAAGGGAACUGGAACACAGGUGCUGCAUGGCUGUCGUCAGCUCGUGUCGUGAGAUGUUGGGUUAAGUCCCGCAACGAGCGCAACCCUUGUCGUUAAUUGCCAUCAUUUAGUUGGGCACUUUAACGAGACUGCCGGUGACAAACCGGAGGAAGGUGGGGAUGACGUCAAGUCCUCAUGGCCCUUAUGGGUAGGGCUUCACACGUCAUACAAUGGUCGGUACAAAGGGUUGCCAACCCGCGAGGGGGAGCCAAUCCCAGAAAGCCGAUCGUAGUCCGGAUUGCAGGCUGCAACUCGCCUGCAUGAAGUCGGAAUCGCUAGUAAUCGUGGAUCAGCAUGUCACGGUGAAUACGUUCCCGGGUCUUGUACACACCGCCCGUCACACCAUGGGAGCGGGUUCCGCCAGAAGUAGGUAGCCUAACCGCAAGGGGGGCGCUUACCACGGCGGGGUUCGUGACUGGGGUGAAGUCGUAACAAGGUA